UGUAGGACCUUUUAGGAAGUAGGGAUAUAUAGUUUAAUUGGUUUUAUGCAAACCACGGAACUAUUCGUUAUAAACCCAACCGGGAACAUCCAUAGGCGAUUCAACCAGCCAUACAGGACUUACCAACGGAAUCACAAGGUUUAUACCCGAUAUAAUCCCUCACUAACCAUGCCGGGAACACCCCUCUUAGGGCUUACCAACGCCAUGAUUUAAGCUUA
This 218-nucleotide long non-coding RNA is filed under the name Nicotiana benthamiana. RNAcentral describes it as "long non-coding RNA (NBEN_LNC027756)". Lineage: Eukaryota; Viridiplantae; Streptophyta; Magnoliopsida; Solanales; Solanaceae. The record is from RNAcentral.